UUAGUGACUGAGCCCAUACUUCCAAGAAAAGCCUCUAGUUAGACCUGCGUGACCGUACCGCAAACCGACACAGGUGGAUGGGUGGAGAAUACCAAGGGGAUCGGGAGAAUCUCUGUUAAGGAAUUAGGCAAAUUAGAUCCGUAACUUCGGGAAAAGGAUCGCCCCAUUAGCGUGACGACGACAAGCUUGUCUGAGCGUGAAGGGGCCGCAGAGAAAUGGCUCUAGCGACUGGUUACCAGAACCACAGGUCUGUGCUAAGUCGAAAGACGACGUAUACGGGCUGACGCCUGCCCAGUGCCGGAAGGUUAAGGGGAGCGGUGCAAGCUGCGAACUGAAGCCCCGGUGAACGGCGGCCGUAACUAUAACGGUCCUAAGGUAGCGAAAUUCCUUGUCGGGUAAGUUCCGACCCGCACGAAUGGCGUAACGACUGGAGCACUGUCUCAACAGAGAACCCGGUGAAACUGAAUUAGGAGUGAAGAUGCUUCUUACCCGCAGCUGGACAAAAAGACCCCGUGGAGCUUUACUGUAGCUUGACAUUGGGUUAGAACUUAGGUUGUGUAGGAUAGGUGGGAGACUGUGAAGCUGGGCCGCCAGGCUCGGUGGAGUCGUCGGUGAAAUACCACUCUGCUUAAGUUUUGGCCCUAACCUUUGCCGUAAUCCGGUGAGGAAACAGUGUCAGGUGGGCAGUUUGACUGGGGCGGUCGCCUCCUAAAGAGUAACGGAGGCGCGCAAAGGUUCCCUCAGGCUGAAUGGAAACCAGUCGUAGAGUGCAAACGCAUAAGGGAGCUUGACUGCGAGACGGACGGGUCGAGCAGAGACGAAAGUCGGCGUUAGUGAUCCUAUGGCACCGAGUGGAAGGGCCAUGGCUCAACGGAUAAAAGCUACCCCGGGGAUAACAGGCUAGUCUUCCCCAAGAGUUCACAUCGACGGGAAGGUUCGGCACCUCGAUGUCGGCUCGUCACAUCCUGGGGCUGGAGUAGGUCCCAAGGGUUGGGCUGUUCGCCCAUUAAAGUGGUACGCGAGCUGGGUUCAGACCGUCGUGAGACAGGUCGGUCUCUAUCCGCUGUGGGCGUAAGGGAAUUGAGGAGAGCUGCCCCUAGUACGAGAGGACCGGGGUGGACGGAUCUCUGGUGUGCCAGUUGUGCUGCCAAGUGCAUGGCUGGGUAGCUAAGUCCGGAAUGGAUAACCGCUGAAAGCAUCUAAGUGGGAAGCCAGCUCCAAGAUAAGUUCCCUCACAGGGUUAACCUGGUAAGUGCGCAGGAAGACCACCCGCUUGAUAGGCGGCAAGUGUACAGGCUGAGAGGCCUUUAGCUAAGCCGUACUAAUGCACGAGGGCUCA
This 1339-nucleotide ribosomal RNA is filed under the name metagenome. Its description in RNAcentral is "bacterial LSU rRNA". It matches the Rfam family "Bacterial large subunit ribosomal RNA", at positions 1587 to 2925 of the family's 2925-position model. The record is from RNAcentral.